RNAcentral lists this long non-coding RNA (1450 nucleotides) under Homo sapiens (human). RNAcentral's name for it is "non-protein coding lnc-SOX15-1:6". Lineage: Eukaryota; Metazoa; Chordata; Mammalia; Primates; Hominidae. The record is from RNAcentral.
GGAGUCUCCGAGGUGGCGUUGGGUGGGGGCGCUACUAGCUCCCGUUCUCUCAGCGUCUCUAGAGGGAAGGGCGCCGGUGGGAGCAGGAGAGUCUGCACCGGGCAGGCCUCCUUAGGUGCCGGGUUGCGCGCAGGGCCCUGUGCUUGUCUCGCCUCCGGUUGGCUCAGGCCUCGGAGCAUGAGUGCGCCGGCAACUGCUGGGCCCGGGACAGUGAAGCAGAGGAGGAGGUGGGGGAGGCGAGCCCAGGUCGGGGAAGGGCAGCACCUGAAUCACCCUUGGGGCCCAGACCCCCAAGAGUCUCCGGGGAGCCGAGGCCUGGCGAGGCAGUCCCGGGAUUCGCCCCCUCCCCGCUGGCCCGAGGGCGCACCACGUGCUGGGCAGAGACUUCGGCGAGGCCGAGUGGACCCUGCAGCGCUGCUUGGGAAAGGGCACCUUGGACUACCUGGUGGGGGCGUUGUGCUUCGUUACCGACCGCCGGGACGCCAACCCACGGUGCCCACCCGUGCGUCAUUCCGCUGUGGAUCAGCCCUUUGGCGGCCCCCCUCCAAAGUCUACAAGGUCACACGGAUGUCUGCAGGCAGAGCUGCUUCCGGCUCCCUGAGACCCAGCCAUGGAAGGCAUAGAAAGGCAUGUGACAAGAAACUCAUGGCUUUUAAUCCUGGCAGGACAAGGAAAACCCCGUCAAAGAUUUGCAUAAAUUUUGCUGCUCUCCUGCUGGGGGGGGGGGGGGGGCAGUUCGUCACAUUUAAUAAAAUUCUCUCCCUCCCUUCUCCCGACUGCAUUAUCUCAUAUUUAUUUAUUUGAGACAGUCUGGCUCUGUCGCCCAGGCUGGAGUGCAGUGGCGCGAUCUUGGCUUAGUGGCGCGAUGACGGCUCACUGCAACCUCCACCUCCUGGGUUCAAGCAGUUCUGCCUCAGCCUCCCAAGUAGCUGGGAUUACAGGCCAGCUGGGAUUACGCCGCCACACCUGGCUAAUUGUAUUUUUAGUAGAGACAGGGUUUCACCAUGUUGGCCAGGCUGGUCUCAAACUCCUGACCUCCAGUGAUCCACCUGCCUCAGCCUCCCAAAGUGCUGGGAUUACAGGCAUGAGCCGUCAUGCCCGGCUUUCUUUUUGUUCUUCAAGAAAGGGAAGGAAAAUAACAUUGUCUUUGAGCCAGUUGCGUGUCGAGGAAAUAAGGGUACCCCCCCACCACACCCCAACCCCCUCAGUGCCCUGGGGUUUGAAGCAAAUGCUCAGAGGGCCUGGUAGGCGGAUGGGCGUCUCCGGAUGAUGCAGAAAGCAAUAAGCACCAGGGCGAGGAGGCCAAGAAGGAUCAGGCCGAUGAUGAGAGGCAGCAAGAUGGACCGGUCACUGGGGCAGGAGAAACCUGGCGGAAGGAUAGGGCAGGUAGGUAUUUGCAGUGACGUGCUGGUUGGGAUAAAGGUGGGAGGAGGGAAUGGGGGGAUGCUGG